Molecule: long non-coding RNA, 566 nt
Filed under: Onthophagus taurus
Lineage: Eukaryota; Metazoa; Arthropoda; Insecta; Coleoptera; Scarabaeidae
Description: uncharacterized LOC111426335, transcript variant X1
Source: RNAcentral
GUCGUCGUUGUGUAUUGUUAGUCGUUUAAAUUACGUUGGAAUUAAUGGAAUUUAAGUAUUCAAAAUAAUUUCAGAUUUGCCUUGUUUUAGGAGACACUGAAACAUCUCCAAAAGGGACAAGUUGCUCCGACUGGAUUAAAUUUGGUAUAAUUGAACACGCGACUUAAAAUACCUGCAGUUAUUGAAGAAGGAUCAAGAGGAGUUUAAAUAAGCUAUCAAGGCACAAAGCAACAACAAGAUGUCCGCUAUUGAUAACCAUCCACCAGAGCUAUACAAGCUAGGCGACGAACACAUACUUACUGGGUAUGUGGAAAUAAUGAGUGAGGAUAGAAUCCCAAAAAGGCACUUAAGCAGCAGAAUGAAAGGCAAUAAACCAAUGAUGGAGGUCACGAAAACGAUGGGAGGACGCACAACGCAUAAGCGUCAGAACCUGAAAGACAGUAGCCUGUUUCGGAUAUCCUUCCCAAACACUCUCUCAGGAAAUUAUAAACUAUUAGUUGACAAUAAAAAACGUUAUAAUUAAUUUAAUUGUGCAAUCAGCAACACAAUAUACGUAGGAAAUAUUA